This 414-nucleotide ribosomal RNA is filed under the name uncultured bacterium. Its description in RNAcentral is "bacterial SSU rRNA". It matches the Rfam family "Bacterial small subunit ribosomal RNA", at positions 355 to 786 of the family's 1533-position model. The record is from RNAcentral.
UGGGGAAUAUUGGACAAUGGGCGCAAGCCUGAUCCAGCCAUGCCGCGUGGGUGAUGAAGGCCCUAGGGUUGUAAAGCCCUUUCGGCGGGGAAGAUAAUGACGGUACCCGCAGAAGAAGCCCCGGCUAACUUCGUGCCAGCAGCCGCGGUAAUACGAAGGGGGCUAGCGUUGCUCGGAAUCACUGGGCGUAAAGCGCACGUAGGCGGACUCUUAAGUCGGUGGUGAAAUCCUGGAGCUCAACUCCAGAACUGCCUUCGAUACUGGGAGUCUCGAGUCCGGGAGAGGUGAGUGGAACUGCGAGUGUAGAGGUGAAAUUCGUAGAUAUUCGCAAGAACACCAGUGGCGAAGGCGGCUCACUGGCCCGGUACUGACGCUGAGGUGCGAAAGCGUGGGGAGCAAACAGGAUUAGAUACC